AUACAUUUGAAAGUUUUGAAACCUGGAUUUUGCAAAACAAAAUGAUAACUUGUAUGACCGGUAAUUUAGCACGUAAGACUAGAAUCAGUUCUUUUAUAGUAACUGGAAAUGGAAAUGGAUUAGCUGGAUUUACGUUAUCAAAAGCCAAAGCAUCCCUAAAAACGGUUAAAAAUAGGGCUGGUCAAAGACUAAUGUAUAUUCCUUAUAUACAUAUAAGGAAUACACUGUGUUAUAUGAUUUCUUUACACAGUUUGAGAAUAUAAAAAUAUUUGUAAAGAAAAUUCAUGAAGGAUAAUGGCUUGUUUGUCAUCAUGCGAUAAAAGCAUGUUGCGAGAUAAUUGGCAUAAAGGAUAUGUAUGCCAAAGUACAAGGAGGAAUGUAAAAGCAUUCUUUAUUGGUUUAUUGCAACAGAUAUUUCUAUUG
RNAcentral lists this long non-coding RNA (423 nucleotides) under Camponotus floridanus (Florida carpenter ant). RNAcentral describes it as "uncharacterized LOC112639774, transcript variant X1". Lineage: Eukaryota; Metazoa; Arthropoda; Insecta; Hymenoptera; Formicidae. The record is from RNAcentral.